Salvelinus sp. IW2-2015 is the source of this 305-nucleotide long non-coding RNA. RefSeq lists it as uncharacterized. The record is from RefSeq and is a predicted model, not a curated record. Lineage: Eukaryota; Metazoa; Chordata; Actinopteri; Salmoniformes; Salmonidae.
CAGUCAACAAAAGAGAGGUCAGAGGAGAGGGAUGAGGGUAUAACGAAAGAGAGGAAGAGGAGGAAGAGCAAAACCUUGGAAGCAGUGGAAAGACUAGAGAAACAUCAAGUUUGGAAAACCAUUGGCAUUCUCGCUCUUGAGGAGAUCUGUGUUCUUAUUGGAGGAGAGAAGUAAGAGGUCAGAGGUGAAGGGGAAGUGUUAUGUGUGAGAAACUCAGCAUGCUGAAUCUACAGAACACCUCCAGCUGGACUGGGCCAAACAACUGAUGGCUGUGUGGUGGAUGACGUGGGCGUGCGGAUGGUGGG